Daphnia carinata is the source of this 729-nucleotide long non-coding RNA. RefSeq lists it as uncharacterized. The record is from RefSeq and is a predicted model, not a curated record. NCBI's taxonomy places the organism in Eukaryota, Metazoa, Arthropoda, Branchiopoda, Diplostraca, Daphniidae. The transcript has 6 exons.
AGUUAUUCGACUUUUUCCAUCAGCAACAACAGCAGCCUGAGCAACGGCCGCAUAGCAGUGUGAAAAAAAAGUGAAAAAAAUUCAAAUCUCGGACGCAGUGCAGUUGUUCGCCGAUUAUUCGAAGAGCAUACGAAACUAUUUAUACGAUGUCGAUGGCAAUAUUCUGCUUGAUGUUUACACUCAAACCUCUUCAGUUCCAUUAGGUUACAACCACCCUGAAUUAUUAGAUGUCAAGAUAAAGAAAACAUCAGAACAUUCAUAAACCGACCUGCCCUCGGUGUAUUUCCUGGUGAAAAUUAUCCUAAGCGAGUCCAGAAUUCUCUGUUACGUAUUGCUCCCAAAGGCCAUACAGAGGUAACGACGAUGGCGUGUGGAUCGUGCUCAAACGAAAAUGCGUACAAGGCAAUUUUCGUUUGGUAUCGCCGGAAACAGAGGGGAGAUAAGUCAUAUACCCCAGAGGAGAAGACGAGUUGCGUAAUGAACCAAUUGCCUGGUGUUUCUGACCUGACUCUUAUGUCUUUCAAAGGCGCUUUCCACGACAGAACGUUUGGUACGUUAAUCACGACUCAUACCAAGCCAGUCCAUAAACUGGACAUUCCUACAAAGGACUGGCCAAUUGGAACCUUCCCUCGCCACAAGUAUCCGUUGGAAGAAUUUGUGCGUGAAAAUGAGGAAGAAGAUCGUCGCUGUUUGGCGGAAGUUGAAGAGCUUUUUGAUCGGUACAAAAAA